UCGAGUUAGGGUCUUGUAGGCCCGAUCUCCAACCCGAUGUUUAACUACCAUGUUGCUUUGGCGGGCCCGUCUCACGACCGUUGAGAGCCUUGCGGCUUUUGACCUGUGCCCGCCAGAAGCCUUUUCCAAAUUCUUGAACAAUGGUUUGUCUGAAUCAUAAACUUAAUAGUUA
RNAcentral lists this unclassified non-coding RNA (172 nucleotides) under uncultured Eurotiomycetes. RNAcentral's name for it is "sequence contains ITS1". Lineage: Eukaryota; Fungi; Ascomycota; Eurotiomycetes. The record is from RNAcentral.